This 367-nucleotide long non-coding RNA is filed under the name Manihot esculenta (cassava). RNAcentral's name for it is "long non-coding RNA (MESC_LNC009432)". The record is from RNAcentral. Lineage: Eukaryota; Viridiplantae; Streptophyta; Magnoliopsida; Malpighiales; Euphorbiaceae.
UGCAGUUGGAUUAUGCGGUGAAGAUCUUUUUUUGUUCUUCAAUGAUUUCAUCUGAUCUUUUAUUUGCUUUUCUAUCUGCACUCGCAUUUGCUCUUGCAUUUGCUCUUGCAUUUGCUCUAUGUCUUGUUUCAUUUUGACCCGGUUUUGCUCUAAUAUUUGUUCAACCUCCUCUAAAGAAAACAUAGUUUGAGAAGGUCCUCCAGGAUGAGCUGAUGUGCAUGAGAAAGAGGUAGUUGGAGUUCCAAAUUUUGCAAUAUCAGAAGAUCCAAAAUCAUAAACCCUCCCUUUACUACUUCCAGAAAUUUCCAUCCACUUAUUCAAAUCAAAAGCAGACUGACUAUCACAAUUGUCAUUCACAUUUUCAGNN